GGCGUCAGUAGCGCUUUGGUUCAACCACACGACUUUUAUCCAGAAUCUGAGCCAGAGGGAGAGGCUGCUGAAGAAGUUCAAACUCUACAACUGCAGCAGGACGUUUCUGAAUGGUGCUCCUGUGGAAACUGUGCAACCAUGCCCACAGAAGCUGAGAAUAUCUGCUGCUAGGAGAUACCACAGGUUACCAGACGGCUAUGGGAGAUCGAGGAAGAUUUACCAUGUAUGGUAGACCGUCCUGGGUUGGAGCCGCUCUGCCUCAAUGUGUUCUGCCUGCAACAUGUACCGCACUGACUAUGGUCCUUUACGGUUGAGAGGAAUACACCAAAUCUGGGUCGUCAUUCCAGCCUGCGUGGUCCUACGCAUCCAUGCCGUGUUUCCUGACGCCACAGGCCAGGACGUGAGUUUUAGACUGGCCCAUGAUAGAACCGGGACACAGAGCUGGAUAUGACCUCCUCCUUCUCAGGCCGCUCGAACUGUGCAGUGAGGUCCUCUGGGAUGGGGAUGGCCAAAGCAGCUUCUGUGUAUGGUCCCAGGUCAACAAAGACUUUUUCAAAUAUGAGGUCCACCACAUUCCCCGUUUGAUAAAACACAAAAGAUUUUGUUUACAUUUUUCACUUUUUUGUUGUUUUUUUACAAAACAAUGAUUGAAAGUCUGUUUCUAACUCCUGACAUUUUCUUUUCUGUAUUUUGUUGUUGAUGGAACUGUCAUAACAUUAUACGUGCAAUACUUAAUACAAUGUGUAUAAAACAUUUUUUGGUUGAAAAA
Molecule: long non-coding RNA, 769 nt
Organism: Seriola aureovittata
Lineage: Eukaryota; Metazoa; Chordata; Actinopteri; Carangiformes; Carangidae
Exons: 4
Source: RefSeq, a predicted model, not a curated record